This 70-nucleotide transfer RNA is filed under the name Camelus bactrianus (Bactrian camel). It matches the Rfam family "tRNA". Rfam says of the family: Transfer RNA (tRNA) molecules are approximately 80 nucleotides in length. Their secondary structure includes four short double-helical elements and three loops (D, anti-codon, and T loops). The record is from Rfam by way of RNAcentral. RNAcentral also lists the same sequence under 2 other names. Lineage: Eukaryota; Metazoa; Chordata; Mammalia; Artiodactyla; Camelidae.
GAGGUUAUAGCUCAGUAGUAAAGUGUGUGCUUAGCAUGCAUGGUCCUGGGUUCAAUCCCCAGUACCUCCA